This 1682-nucleotide long non-coding RNA is filed under the name Ursus americanus (American black bear). Its description in RNAcentral is "lncRNA (ENSUAMG00000026265.1)". The record is from RNAcentral. Lineage: Eukaryota; Metazoa; Chordata; Mammalia; Carnivora; Ursidae.
AUGGAAAAUCCCAAGGAAAGUUGGUACUCAAGGUUUUUAAGGGCAAAAUCCAAACAGUAUGGAGUGUCAGGGGGAUGCACCAGUUGCUCCCUGCCGUGCACCUGCUGCCCAGACCUUCGGUCUAUCUCUGCAUGGGGUUCCUUAGGCCAAUGGAGAAUGUGCCUCCAAGUUCCUCUGGUACCUCUUUCUUCAACCUUCUACUUCCCCCUCUUCACACCCUCCUUCCUUUCACCUUCUGUCAAAUUUUCGCAUCUCCCCACGUCCCCCCUGCCUCCCUCUUCUGCCAGGAUGACCAAAACCCUGGCCUCCUCUUACGGUUUUGAAGUUAUCCUAGCCACCAGGCUAUUCUCUUCACCAUCCAGUUUUGCCACGGGGAAUGCAGAUGCUCUGCUCUAGUCAGCCCCUGAGGAUCUAGAGCUUGGUUCAUUUUUUUUUUUUUUAAGAUUUUAUUUAUUUAUUUGACAGAGACAGCCAGCGAGAGAGGGAACCCAAGCAAGUGGAGUGGGAGAGGAAGAAGCAGGCUCCUAGCAGAGAAGCCUGAUGUGGGGCUCGAUCCCAGAACGCUGGGAUCACACCCUGAGCCGAAGGCAGAUGCUUAUCGACUGCGCCACCCAGGCGCCCCUAGAGCUUGGUUCAAAUCUUAACUGGUACCUCAACCAUCUUCCAAAGGGGAAGAUUCAGGCACUGAGCUCCUGCAUUUAUUAGGGCAGCCAAAGACCUUCAGGCAUAAGGAAAAAGCUCAAGGCUGGUAGGAUGGUUUCCUAUAUCAACCGUGGAGCACCCCCCAUAUUUUCCAGUAGGAGAUGCAACGAACUUUAUAUAGGAUUCCAGAGCUUGCAGGGUCAAGACUCUAGUGGUAUAAGUUAAGGUGUCCCCAGUAAUGGACACAGCUGGCCUUGUCCAUGGGGUGCGCUUCCUCUGAAGCAGUCUAUUGAGCAGGCUGAGAAACACCAGCAAGGGCGGCCUCAAAUACAUCAGGCCACCACUUGAACCAAUUCUUCAUAUAAAAGUUGGUCAAUCUUUCCUGAAAUUUUAGUUGUCUAGAUUGGAAUCCUAAGCUAGCAGGCAAAAUUCUAGAUCCUAGUGACUGACUGGCACCUUCCCCCCACUUCGUAGCUAAAUCCCGCCCAACACAGUUCUUGGGGAUACAGGUACUAGAUAAUUCCCACGCUCAUUUUUGUUCCUUUUGAGCUUUUCUAUUUAGACAGAGACCAGAAACAAACACCAUGUUCUCAGCUUCACCUGAGCGUGACAAGAUCCUGGUACACAACAAUUGUCCUGCUGCACAGAACUGGGACAUUUAUUAGGGCUACCGGGAGAAAACUCCAGGAAAGCUGCUGAGGCAAGGCCUGUAUCUCCAGGGCAACCUUUUGGACCAACAGGGCUCAGGUCUCCACCCUUGACUCAACCAACCGGUUGGUUAGGACUUCACCCAAAGAGUGGAUUGUGUACCCAGGGGGUAGUUUCCUUAACCUGUGGGCUCACAGUUGUCAGCCUGCAGACUCCUGUCUCUUCUCGUUUCGAGUUCCUCUUGUGACCUGGGCCUGGAAGUGUAGGCGCGCCCUUCUGGAAGGGCAUCUGCAGGCUUUCCACCACUCUGCCCUUCAGCUAUGCUUUUUGAAAAAACAUAUUUAUGAAGGUAUAAUUGAAAUACAAUAAACCAGACAGAUGUAAAGUAUGCA